UUUAAUUUCGACAAAUCAAAUAUACAGAAAAGUUACAAGAAUAUUACCCCAAAAUGCCCAAAUAUCCUUUACCCAGAUUCACGAUGUACAUUUUGCCAUUUCCUAUUCUUGAGAGAGAUACAUAGAUUUAUAGCCCAUUCCUCGUCACAAUUUUAUCUGCUAGGUGUAGCAUCUGUUAGUGAUUAUUGCUUGAAUCUGUUAUCACUGUGAUGGUUGAAAAAUGGUGAUUAUCUAAUUAGAACCUUUUCUACAUUUUUUAGUUUGCGUUCUACUCUGAGCAGAGCUUUCGCUUCUCCCACGUUUGUUUGUUCUUGUAUGCACUUGCAUCAGCAUGGACUCCUGGGUUCCUUUUUAUUCCGUGCCAGACCUAUGCUCUUUCCUGUCGCCUGCACAGCCUGCUGCUGCCUCCUCGUAUGGGUCAUUCUGAUCCUCACAGGAACCCUUCAAGAAACCCUUAGAGGUCAGGGAUUCCACCACAGAGUUCUGCACUGUGCUUUACUGAGACAAGAACUGGGUUUCAAUCAAACUGGAUUGGAUUCUAAAGCCACCUCUACCCCUUACAAACCUGUGGCCUGGGAAGGUACCCACUUCGUAGGAUGGUAGGGUCGAGGUCAGCUGUGACAUGUGGAAACAUCGGCUAAAGGUGAGUAAACAGCUAUUCUAUGCUUUUUCU
Molecule: long non-coding RNA, 673 nt
Organism: Miniopterus natalensis
Lineage: Eukaryota; Metazoa; Chordata; Mammalia; Chiroptera; Miniopteridae
Source: RefSeq, a predicted model, not a curated record